RNAcentral lists this ribosomal RNA (526 nucleotides) under uncultured bacterium. RNAcentral's name for it is "bacterial SSU rRNA". It matches the Rfam family "Bacterial small subunit ribosomal RNA", at positions 777 to 1304 of the family's 1533-position model. The record is from RNAcentral.
AAUAGAUACCCCGGUAGUCCACGCCGUAAACGAUGUCGACUUGGAGGUUGUUCCCUUGAGGAGUGGCUUCCGGAGCUAACGCGUUAAGUCGACCGCCUGGGGAGUACGGCCGCAAGGUUAAAACUCAAAUGAAUUGACGGGGGCCCGCACAAGCGGUGGAGCAUGUGGUUUAAUUCGAUGCAACGCGAAGAACCUUACCUACUCUUGACAUCCAGAGGACUUAGCAGAGAUGCUUUGGUGCCUUCGGGAACUCUGAGACAGGUGCUGCAUGGCUGUCGUCAGCUCGUGUUGUGAAUGUUGGGUUAAGUCCCGCAACGAGCGCAACCCUUAUCCUUUGUUGCCAGCGGUUCGGCCGGGAACUCAAAGGAGACUGCCAGUGAUAAACUGGAGGAAGGUGGGGAUGACGUCAAGUCAUCAUGGCCCUUACGAGUAGGGCUACACACGUGCUACAAUGGCAUAUACAAAGAGAAGCGACCUCGCGAGAGCAAGCGGACCUCAUAAAGUAUGUCGUAGUCCGGAUUGGAGU